ACGGAAGGCAGCAGUGGGGAAUAUUGGGCAAUGGGCGCAAGCCUGACCCAGCAACGCCGCGUGAAGGAAGAAGGUUUUCGGAUUGUAAACUUCUGUCCUUGGUGACGAACAAAAUGACGGUACCAUAGGAGGAAGCCCCGGCUAACUACGUGCCAGCAGCCGCGGUAAUACGUAGGGGGCGAGCGUUGUCCGGAAUGAUUGGGCGUAAAGGGCGCGUAGGCGGCCCGGUAAGUCUGGAGUGAAAGUCCUGCUUUCAAGGUGGGAAUUGCUUUGGAUACUGUCGGGCUCGAGUGCAGGAGAGGAAAGCGGAAUUACCGGUGUAGCGGUGAAAUGCGUAGAGAUCGGUAGGAACACCAGUGGCGAAGGCGGCUUUCUGGACUGAAACUGACGCUGAGGCGCGAAAGCGUGGGGAGCAAACAGGAUUAGAUACCCUGGUA
This 437-nucleotide ribosomal RNA is filed under the name uncultured bacterium. RNAcentral describes it as "partial 16S ribosomal RNA". It matches the Rfam family "Bacterial small subunit ribosomal RNA", at positions 341 to 792 of the family's 1533-position model. The record is from RNAcentral.